CCAGACUCCUACGGGAGGCAGCAGUGAGGAAUAUUGGUCAAUGGUCGGGAGACUGAACCAGCCAAGCCGCGUGAGGGAGGAAGGUACAGAGUAUCGUAAACCUCUUUUGUCAGGGAACAAAGGCGGGGACGUGUCCCCGGAUGAGUGUACCUGAAGAAAAAGCAUCGGCUAACUACGUGCCAGCAGCCGCGGUAAUACGUAUGGUGCAAGCGUUAUCCGGAUUUACUGGGCGUAAAGGGAGCGCAGGCGGCGCGCCAAGUCUGAUGUGAAACCCCGGGGCUCAACCCCGGGCAUGCAUUGGAAACUGGCGGGCUGGAGUGCCGGAGAGGUAAGCGGAAUUCCUAGUGUAGCGGUGAAAUGCGUAGAUAUUAGGAGGAACACCAGUGGCGAAGGCGGCUUACUGGACGGCAACUGACGCUGAGGCUCGAAAGCGUGGGGAGCAAACAGGAUUAGAUACCCGAGUAG
Molecule: ribosomal RNA, 465 nt
Filed under: uncultured bacterium
Lineage: Bacteria
Description: bacterial SSU rRNA
Rfam family: Bacterial small subunit ribosomal RNA
Source: RNAcentral